AGUGAACGCUGGCGGCAUGCCUAACACAUGCAAGUCGAACGGAAACACGUCUAGAGCUUCCGACUAAUGGUGGCGGGGGGCGGAAGAGUAAGGAAUGUAUCGCGACCUUGUAGGUCGCGGGGCAAAACGUUUGGUAACACCGCAUACGAUCUAAUAUGUACAACGGGUGACUGCAAGGGCUUUCGCGUUUUUUGCGGCCGCUUGCAGAUGAAGUCGGAUUAGCUAGUUGAGGGGGUAAAGGCUUACCAAGGCGACGAUCCGUAGCUGGUCUGAGAGGAUGAUCAGCCACACUGGAACUGAGACACGGUCCAGACUCCUACGGGAGGCAGCAGUGGGGAAUAUUGGACAAUGGGCGAAAGCCUGAUCCAGCAAUGCCGCGUGAGUGAUGAAGGCCUUCGGGUUGUAAAACGCUUUUGUUAGGAAAGAAAAGCCGCGGGAUAAUACCUGGCGGUCUUGACGGUACCCAAAGAAUAAGCACCGGCUAACUACGUG
RNAcentral lists this ribosomal RNA (492 nucleotides) under uncultured bacterium. Its description in RNAcentral is "partial 16S ribosomal RNA". It matches the Rfam family "Bacterial small subunit ribosomal RNA", at positions 29 to 507 of the family's 1533-position model. The record is from RNAcentral.